GUCCCUCUGGUGGCCAUAUUUUGUCUUAAUUGAACGAACCACCCCCUCUAUGACUCUGCUAUUAUAAUCGACCGCUGUAGUGUUGGUGUGGAAGGGAGUUAUAAGGUUUUUGUUUGUUUUUGACCGCUGUAGUGUUGGUGUGGAAGGGAGUUACAAGGUUUUUUUUUUUUUUUUCGGGUUAGCCUCAGGUUGUUGUGAAGGUAUCGAACAAGUAACCUUUGGAUCUCAUGCUGUUUGGUCACUUACCUUGUAGCUGCCAAACCGAGUCUCAUUGUUAUUAGAAAUGGAAGAUUCUCGUAGAAAAGUCAUGGGUUCCGUGUGGAAGAAAUUGCAGCUAUGUACAAUACUCCAGUUAGAACUUUCUACCGUCGAAUGAAAGACAUGGAUAUUUCCGUUAGAGGAAAGUAUAGCAACAUCACAUUGGAUUCCCUUGAGCAGAAAAUUACAGACAUCUCUGCUGAGAAUAAUCGUGUUGGGGAGAAAAUCAUUAGGGCUAGACUACAAGGACAAGGUGACAUUGUUCAACGCUCAAGAAACAGACAGGCAAUUCAAAACACUGUUGGCCCUCGUCCAAGGCCACCAAGAUUGACCAGGAGAGAAUAUAGCUCUCGUGCUGCAUUAUCUGUCUGGCAUGGUGAUGGGCUACAC
This 648-nucleotide long non-coding RNA is filed under the name Daphnia magna. Its description in RNAcentral is "uncharacterized LOC123470309". Lineage: Eukaryota; Metazoa; Arthropoda; Branchiopoda; Diplostraca; Daphniidae. The record is from RNAcentral.